Oryza glumipatula is the source of this 197-nucleotide non-coding RNA. NCBI's taxonomy places the organism in Eukaryota, Viridiplantae, Streptophyta, Magnoliopsida, Poales, Poaceae. The record is from Rfam.
AAAAAGACAAACCGCGGGUUUACAUGCCAACGUUUGACUGUCCGUUUUAUAUGAAAUUUUUUUAUAAUUAGUAUUUUCAUUGUUGUUAGAUGAUAAUGAAUACUUUAUGCGUGAUUUAUCUUUUUAAUUUUUUUAUAAUUUUUUUAAAUAAGACGGACGGUCAAAUAUUGGACACGGAAACCAGGGUUUGUCUUUUU